RNAcentral lists this small RNA (27 nucleotides) under Bombyx mori (domestic silkworm). RNAcentral describes it as "ovarian small RNA-11877". The record is from RNAcentral. Lineage: Eukaryota; Metazoa; Arthropoda; Insecta; Lepidoptera; Bombycidae.
AGACGGACUAACGCACCUGCCAUGCCC